RNAcentral lists this ribosomal RNA (468 nucleotides) under uncultured bacterium. RNAcentral's name for it is "partial 16S ribosomal RNA". It matches the Rfam family "Bacterial small subunit ribosomal RNA", at positions 28 to 507 of the family's 1533-position model. The record is from RNAcentral.
GACGAACGCUGGCGGCGUGCUUAACACAUGCAAGUCGAACGGAAAGGCCCCGCUUGUGGGGGGUGCUCGAGUGACGAGCGGGUGAGUCACAAGUGAGUAACCUGCGAUUGCCGGUGAGCUAACGUAAGGAAAGUGGGACUAAUACCGGAUAGGCGCGCCUGAUGCAUGGGGGGGGUUGGAUAGGUUCGGCGGUUUGGGAUGGACUGCGGGCUAAUCAGCUUGUUGGGGGGGUGGUGGCUAACCAAGGCUUUGACGGUUAGCCGGCCUGGGAGGGUGACCGGCCACAUUGGGACUGGGAUACGGCCCGGACUCCUACGGGAGGCAGCAGGGGGGAAUUUGGCACAAGGGGCGGAAGCCGGAUGCAGAAACGCCGCGGGCGGGAUGACGGCUUUCGGUUGGUAAACCGUUUCAGCCGGUGACGAGGUGGUAGUGACGGUAAUGGGUAAAGAAGCACCGGCUAACUACGUG